CUUGAAGACUGAUAUUUUGCCUCAGAUUGUGAAGUCCAUGCUUCAGAGUUGUUUCCCACAACCAACAAAAUCCCCCUCUCAGCUUGAAAUCACAGCCUGAGCCAGGCUUCUUCU
Molecule: microRNA precursor, 114 nt
Filed under: Cricetulus griseus (Chinese hamster)
Lineage: Eukaryota; Metazoa; Chordata; Mammalia; Rodentia; Cricetidae
Description: mir-498
Source: RNAcentral